RNAcentral lists this non-coding RNA (102 nucleotides) under Clostridium sp. RNAcentral's name for it is "TPP sequence". It matches the Rfam family "TPP riboswitch aptamer (THI element)". Rfam says of the family: Vitamin B(1) in its active form thiamin pyrophosphate (TPP) is an essential coenzyme that is synthesised by coupling of pyrimidine and thiazole moieties in bacteria. RNAcentral also lists the same sequence under 1 other name. The record is from RNAcentral. Lineage: Bacteria; Bacillati; Bacillota; Clostridia; Eubacteriales; Clostridiaceae.
AUAAUUAACUAGGGGUGCCCUUUGGCUGAGAAGAUUUUACUAAUCUAACUCUAUGAACCUGACGUAGUUAGUACUACCGUAGGGAAGUUAUGUACGAUUAUU